Long non-coding RNA from Scaptodrosophila lebanonensis, 802 nucleotides. RefSeq lists it as uncharacterized. The record is from RefSeq and is a predicted model, not a curated record. NCBI's taxonomy places the organism in Eukaryota, Metazoa, Arthropoda, Insecta, Diptera, Drosophilidae. The transcript is spliced from 9 exons.
UGCCCAAGGAAAUAUGUAUCACACAUAAUUAAUUGGGCAGACUCCCCACUAGAUCUGCAUUCCCAUUCAAUUACCAACGUGUGUAAUGAAUAUUUUUGAAUUUCAGAUGCUGGGCCGAGCAUCAACUGGAUUCUGCCAAAAAUUCUGGAGAUAAUCAAUUUAUUAUUUUAAAAGGAGACAGCAUUAGGAAAAAAGAUUUAAAAGGAAAUCUUCUGAAGAAAGCAAACGGCCAUAUGUGUUUUUUAUGCUGCCACACUUCGGUUAGCUAUGUUAAAAGCAGCAGCAUUAUCACACAAGAUUUGACAAGUGGACAAUUGGCCUCUGGAGCUAGAAAGAUAAUCAAUUUAUUAUUUUAAAAGGAGACAGCAUUAGGAAAAAAGAUUUAAAAGGAAAUCUUAUGAAGAACAGAAACGGCCAUAUGUGUUUUUUAUGUUGCCACACUUCGGUUAGCUAUGUUAAAAGCAGCAGCAUUAUCACACAAGAUUUAAAAGGAAAUCUUAUGAAGAACAGAAACGGCCAUAUGUGUUUUUUAUGUUGCCACACUUCGGUUAGCUAUGUUAAAAGCAGCAGCAUUAUCACACAAGAUUUAAAAGGAAAUCUUAUGAAGAACAGAAACGGAACAGAACAGAAAUAUGUGUUUUUUAUGCUGCCACACUUCGGUUAGCUAUGUUAAAAGCAGCAGCAUUAUCACACAAGAUUUAAAAGGAAAUCUUAUGAAGAACAGAAACGGCCAUAUGUGUUUUUUAUGUUGCCACACUUCGGUUAGCUAUGUUAAAAGCAGCAGCAUUAUCACACAAGGUAU